RNAcentral lists this ribosomal RNA (253 nucleotides) under uncultured bacterium. RNAcentral's name for it is "partial 16S ribosomal RNA". It matches the Rfam family "Bacterial small subunit ribosomal RNA", at positions 524 to 776 of the family's 1533-position model. The record is from RNAcentral.
UACAGAGGUCCCAAGCGUUGUUCGGAUUCACUGGGCGUAAAGGGUGCGUAGGUGGCCAGGUAAGUCGGAUGUGAAAGCUCGGAGCUCAACUCCGAAAUGGCAUUGGAAACUGCCUGGCUCGAGGGUUGGAGGGGGGACUGGAAUACUUGGUGUAGCAGUGAAAUGCGUAGAUAUCAAGUGGAACACCAGUGGCGAAGGCGAGUCCCUAGACAACUCCUGACACUGAGGCACGAAAGCUAGGGGAGCAAACAGG